Molecule: ribosomal RNA, 775 nt
Filed under: Campanula pallida
Lineage: Eukaryota; Viridiplantae; Streptophyta; Magnoliopsida; Asterales; Campanulaceae
Description: eukaryotic LSU rRNA
Rfam family: 5.8S ribosomal RNA (bases 302-457)
Source: RNAcentral
AACCUGCGGAAGGAUCAUUGUCGAAACCUGCACAGCAGAACGACCCGCGAACACGUUGAAAAACACAUUAGGGGGGUCGUGGGUUCGGGAUAAGGGCGACAGCCCCCCUGCCCAUGGCCCCUUUGCUUGCGGCGCCGAAGUGAGCGAGCGAAAGCGAGCAUACUUCGUCUCCCAAGAAACUAACCCCGACGCAAUCCGCGUCAAGGAAAACAUUUAACUCGAGGGCGUGCUGUUGUCCCGUCGCCCCCGUUCGCGGGUGAGCGCGCGGGCUGACGACCGCUUCUUAGUGAAAAACAAAAACGACUCUCGGCAACGGAUAUCUUGGCUCUCGCAUCGAUGAAGAACGUAGCGAAAUGCGAUACUUGGUGUGAAUUGCAGAAUCCCGUGAACCAUCGAGUCUUUGAACGCAAGUUGCGCCCGAAGCCUUUAGGCCGAGGGCACGUCUGCAUGGGCGUCACGCAUCGCGUCGCCCCUCCAAACAUUGUGCACCUAGAGUGCUCUCUCGCUUGGUGGGAGCGGAUAUUGGCCUCCCGUGCCUUGCGGCGCGGCUGGCUCAAACUUGAGUCCCCUGCGUAGGACGCACGACAAGUGGUGGUUGAUAACAAGGCCUUCGCGUCCCGUCGUGCGGCUAUCCUCCGUGGGAUUUGACUCGUCAUAAGUGACCCUGACGACGCACCUUCGCGAUCCUCCACAUAGUGGGGGUCGAUGAUGGUUGUGCUCCGACCGCGACCCCAUGUCAGGCGGGACUACCCGCUGAAUUUAAGCAUAUCAAUAG